GUGGGGAAUCUUGCGCAAUGGGCGAAAGCCUGACGCAGCCAUGCCGCGUGAAUGAUGAAGGUCUUAGGAUUGUAAAAUUCUUUCACCGGGGACGAUAAUGACGGUACCCGGAGAAGAAGCUCCGGCUAACUUCGUGCCAGCAGCCGCGGUAAUACGAAGGGGGCUAGCGUUGCUCGGAAUUACUGGGCGUAAAGGGCGCGUAGGCGGGCAGCUUAGUCAGAGGUGAAAGCCCAGGGCUCAACCUUGGAAUUGCCUUUGAUACUGGCUGUCUUGAGUUUGGGAGAGGUGAGUGGAACUCCGAGUGUAGAGGUGAAAUUCGUAGAUAUUCGGAAGAACACCAGUGGCGAAGGCGACUCACUGGCUCAUUACUGACGCUGAGGCUCGAAAGCGUGGGGAGCAAACAGGAUUAGAAACCCGUGUAGUCC
Molecule: ribosomal RNA, 425 nt
Filed under: uncultured bacterium
Lineage: Bacteria
Description: partial 16S ribosomal RNA
Rfam family: Bacterial small subunit ribosomal RNA
Source: RNAcentral